GAAAACGCGUAGUGGUGAUAAUG
RNAcentral lists this non-coding RNA (23 nucleotides) under Arabidopsis thaliana (thale cress). The record is from RNAcentral. Lineage: Eukaryota; Viridiplantae; Streptophyta; Magnoliopsida; Brassicales; Brassicaceae.